GACGAACGCUGGCGGCGUGCUUAACACAUGCAAGUCGAACGGAAAGGCCCUGCUUUUGUGGGGUGCUCGAGUGGCGAACGGGUGAGUAACACGUGAGUAACCUGCCCUUGACUUUGGGAUAACUUCAGGAAACUGGGGCUAAUACCGGAUAGGAGCUCCUGCUGCAUGGUGGGGGUUGGAAAGUUUCGGCGGUUGGGGAUGGACUCGCGGCUUAUCAGCUUGUUGGUGGGGUAGUGGCUUACCAAGGCUUUGACGGGUAGCCGGCCUGAGAGGGUGACCGGCCACAUUGGGACUGAGAUACGGCCCAGACUCCUACGGGAGGCAGCAGUGGGGAAUAUUGCGCAAUGGGCGGAAGCCUGAUGCAGCAACGCCGCGUGCGGGAUGACGGCCUUCGGGUUGUAAACCGCUUUCGCCUGUGACGAAGCGUGCGUGACGGUAAUGGGUAAAGAAGCACCGGCUAACUACGUG
Molecule: ribosomal RNA, 468 nt
Filed under: uncultured bacterium
Lineage: Bacteria
Description: partial 16S ribosomal RNA
Rfam family: Bacterial small subunit ribosomal RNA
Source: RNAcentral